UACGUAGGAGGCAAGCGUUGUCCGGAAUUAUUGGGCGUAAAGAGCUCGUAGGCGGUCUGUUGCGUCGGCUGUGAAACCCGAGGCUCAACCUCGGGCCUGCAGCCGAUACGGGCAGACUAGAGUUCGGCAGGGGAGACUGGAAUUCCUGGUGUAGCGGUGAAAUGCGCCAGAUAUCAGGAGGAACACCGGUGGCGAAGGCGGGUCUCUGGGCCGAUACUG
RNAcentral lists this ribosomal RNA (219 nucleotides) under uncultured bacterium. RNAcentral's name for it is "partial 16S ribosomal RNA". It matches the Rfam family "Bacterial small subunit ribosomal RNA", at positions 524 to 742 of the family's 1533-position model. The record is from RNAcentral.